This 68-nucleotide transfer RNA is filed under the name Ptilodactyla sp. PTY01. RNAcentral describes it as "tRNA-Ala". The record is from RNAcentral. Lineage: Eukaryota; Metazoa; Arthropoda; Insecta; Coleoptera; Ptilodactylidae.
AGGAUAAUAGUUAACUAUAACAUUUAACUUGCACUUAAAAAGUAUUGAUCAAUAAUCAAUUUAUCUUA